GACCGCUCCGAUGGCUUAGUGGUUAGAGCGUCCUCCUCGGAUGCGGGAGUUAGUGGAUUCGAUCCCAGGCCGAGUCA
This is a non-coding RNA of Potamilus streckersoni, 77 nucleotides long. NCBI's taxonomy places the organism in Eukaryota, Metazoa, Mollusca, Bivalvia, Unionida, Unionidae. The record is from the annotation of a GenBank genome assembly.